UACGUAGGUGGCAAGCGUUAUCCGGAUUUAUUGGGUUUAAAGGGUGCGCAGGCGGAGGUGCAAGUCAGCGGUCAAAUUGCGGGGCUCAACCCCGUACUGCCGUUGAAACUGCAUCCCUUGAGUGCGCGAGAAGUAUGCGGAAUGCGUGGUGUAGCGGUGAAAUGCAUAGAUAUCACGCAGAACGCCGAUUGCGAAGGCAGCUUACCGGCGCUCAACUGACGCUGAGGCACGAAAGUGCGGGUAUCGAACAGG
RNAcentral lists this ribosomal RNA (252 nucleotides) under uncultured Bacteroidales bacterium. RNAcentral describes it as "partial 16S ribosomal RNA". It matches the Rfam family "Bacterial small subunit ribosomal RNA", at positions 524 to 776 of the family's 1533-position model. The record is from RNAcentral. Lineage: Bacteria; Pseudomonadati; Bacteroidota; Bacteroidia; Bacteroidales.